Molecule: ribosomal RNA, 327 nt
Filed under: uncultured bacterium
Lineage: Bacteria
Description: bacterial SSU rRNA
Rfam family: Bacterial small subunit ribosomal RNA
Source: RNAcentral
GACGAACGCUGGCGGCGUGCCUAAUACAUGCAAGUCGAACGCUUCUUUUCCACCGGAGCUUGCUCCACCGGAAAAAGAGGAGUGGCGAACGGGUGAGUAACACGUGGGUAACCUGCCCAUCAGAAGGGGAUAACACUUGGAAACAGGUGCUAAUACCGUAUAACAAUCAAAACCGCAUGGUUUUGAUUUGAAAGGCGCUUUCGGGUGUCGCUGAUGGAUGGACCCGCGGUGCAUUAGCUAGUUGGUGGGGUAACGGCCUACCAAGGCGACGAUGCGUAGCCGACCUGAGAGGGUGAUCGGCCACAUUGGGACUGAGACACGGCCCAG